AGAGACAGCAGCCGCCGCGGUAAUACAUAGGUGGCAAGCGUUGUCCGGAAUUAUUGGGCGUAAAGCGAGCGCAGGCGGUUAGAUAAGUCUGAAGUUAAAGGCUGUGGCUUAACCAUAGUACGCUUUGGAAACUGUUUAACUUGAGUGCAAGAGGGGAGAGUGGAAUUCCAUGUGUAGCGGUGAAAUGCGUAGAUAUAUGGAGGAACACCGGUGGCGAAAGCGGCUCUCUGGCUUGUAACUGACGCUGAGGCUCGAAAGCGUGGGGAGCAAACAGGAUUAGAUACCCCAGUAGUCCCUGUCUCUUAUACC
This 309-nucleotide ribosomal RNA is filed under the name uncultured bacterium. RNAcentral describes it as "partial 16S ribosomal RNA". It matches the Rfam family "Bacterial small subunit ribosomal RNA", at positions 504 to 808 of the family's 1533-position model. The record is from RNAcentral.